RNAcentral lists this ribosomal RNA (253 nucleotides) under uncultured bacterium. Its description in RNAcentral is "partial 16S ribosomal RNA". It matches the Rfam family "Bacterial small subunit ribosomal RNA", at positions 524 to 776 of the family's 1533-position model. The record is from RNAcentral.
UACGAGCGGCCCAAACGUUAUUCGGAUUUACUGGGCUUAAAGAGUUCGUAGGCGGCGCGGAAAGUAGGGUGUGAAAGCCCUCGGCUCAACCGGGGAAUUGCGCCCUAAACUGCCGUGCUAGAGGAACCUAGAGGUGAGCAGAACUGAUGGUGGAGCGGUGAAAUGCGUUGAUAUCAUCAGGAAUACCGGAGGCGAAGGCGGCUCACUGGGGGUUUUCUGACGCUGAGGAACGAAAGCCAGGGGAGCGAACGGG